RNAcentral lists this long non-coding RNA (4953 nucleotides) under Podarcis lilfordi (Lilford's wall lizard). Lineage: Eukaryota; Metazoa; Chordata; Lepidosauria; Squamata; Lacertidae. The record is from RNAcentral.
GAUUGGUGCAGAAGUUUGGGGGGGAGCCCAAAACUAUCAUGGUUUUCGGACAGAAAUGCAAUAUGCCCUCAAUCUGCAGUUUGAUGAAUUCCUGACGAGGAAUCACGAGUGGCUUUCGUGAUUGAGCAUCUUGAAAAGGGGGCGAGAGACUGGGUUAGAACCCUGAUGGCAGCUAAUAGUGACGUCUUAAAGGACACGAUGAAGUUCUUUCGCGCCAUGGAUCUGAUGUUUUCCAGCGAUAUUGAAAAGGGAGUGGUGCGCAGACAGUUAAUGGGUUGCAAACAGGGGAGCCGAUCUGUCCGUGAGUACUGGACUGAGUUCACCAUGCUUGUUCACAGAUUGGGGUGGGACUUAUCGGCGGAACCCAUUCAAAUGCUCUUGAAGAAGGGCUUUCUUCGGCUGUGAAAGACGAACUUUCCCGGGCGCCCAGGGCGGAGUCUAUGGACCAGCUGACCAAAUCAGCGCUGGCCAUAGGAGCGCGCCAGGAGGCGAGAGCAUUGGAGAGGCGGGAAGGGAAAGGGGAACGUUGGAAGGAGUUCCGCAUUCCAGACAUUCCAGAGCCAACUUUCCCACCGGCAGAGCCGAUGGAAAUCGGAACAGCGGCGCGCGCGCAGUUUCAAAGCCCAGUGAGGGGGCAAAGAAGGAGGGAAAAGGCGCCCGGAAAUGCUAUCUCUGCCAACAGCCAGGUCACUUUGCCAGAGUCUGCCCCCAGAGGAAAGAAUGGCAAGGGAUGGUAGGAGCUGUGGAUGGAAGAGAGGAAAUAUACCGGAGCAAGUAAAAGCCAACGCCUGGCUGCCACUGUCAGGGCACAGCAGCCAGGCCAAAGAGCAGUGAGAGUGCCCACGCCAGAACCUCCUAAACCCGCCCUAGUGAUAGAAGUGACGCUAGAGCUGCCAAACGGACACCCUCUAAAGAUAAAGGCGCUGUUGGACUCAGGCAGCUCCUGCAAUUUCAUGAGCAAAGAGUUUGCAGCUGAACACCAGAUACAGACAAUCCUUUAAGCAGCCCCCUGCAGGUGACCACGAUCGAUGGCAGGGAGCUGUUGGGUGGAGAAGUCAGCUUGCAGACCGUCCCAAUGAUAAUGAAGGUAGCAAGGCACACCGAACUGAUAGCUUUUAAUGUGGCCACCUUGGGAGGAGCUCCCAUUAUAUUGGGGAUGAGCUGGCUAGCGUUACAUGAUCCGCUGGUGGGCUGGCAUCAGAGAGUGGUUUCUUUUGGUUCAGCACAUUGCUUAGAACACUGCAAAGAGGGAAAGGGUUUGGCAGGGGUCCAAGCCACCCUAGCAGGGACUGAAGUAACAGAGAACGUGAAGGUACCACGACAAUAUGCAGAUCUCCGUGACGUCUUCAGCGAAAGGGAAGCUGCCCCCCACCCCCGCAUAGGCCCUUUGACUGUCAAAUCAACUUACUCCCUGGAGCACAGCUCCCUGUAGGCAAGCUGUACGCCAUGUCAGACAGAGAGAUGCAGGAGUUAAGAGAGUUCAUUGACAAGAACCUGAAGAGAGGGUUCAUCAGAGAGUCCAGGGCGGUGGGGGGCAGCCCAGUGUUUUUUGUGGAUAAGAAAAACACGAACAAGCCGAGGCUGGUGUGUGACUUCAGGGCCUUAAAUGCAGUGUCAGAACCAGUAGCCUUCCCUAUGCCCAGGAUUGACGACAUUUUGACAAGGGUGCGGAAGGGAAAGAUUUUCACAAAGCUGGACCUAAGGGGGGCGUACAACCUGGUACGAAUAAGGAAGGGGGAUGAAUGGAAAACCACUAUGUUCACCCCUUUAGGGGCAUUUGAAUAUUUGGUUAUGCCCUUCGGCCUACAAGCAGGCUCCGCAACAUUUCAAUCGUUUAUGAACCACGUCCUGGGGCCUUUGCUUUACAAGAAUUGUGUGGCCUUUUAGACGACGUGUUGGUGUAUUCUGAGAAUGAGGAGCAGCAUGUGAGAGACGUCAGAGAAGUGUUGAGCAGGCUGCAAGCCAACCAGCUGUGGGUGAAACUGGGAAGUGUCAGUUUCAUACCAAGGAGGUGGAAUUCCUGGGGUAUCGCCUGUCAGACAAGGGAUUGGCCAUGGAUCCCGGCAAGGUCCAGGCGGUGCUGGAAUGGAAAACACCCAAAACAAAGAAGGAUGUGCAGAGGUUCCUAGGAUUUGGGAACUUCUAUCGUAAGUUCAUCCGAAACUUUGCCCACCUGACGGCGCCCAUUACGGACUGUCUCAGCAGUAAGAAGAAGUUCGUGUGGACUGAGGAGGCGGAGCGAGCAUUUGAGGAACUAAAAGGGCCUUCGCCUCGGAACAACAACUCCUGCAUGUGGAUUUACAAAAACCGAUGAGAGUGGAAACUGACGCAUCAGACAGAGCGAUUGGGGCGGUGCUUCUGCAGCCAGGCAAGAAGGGGUCAGAGUGGAGACCGUGUGCCCUUUUUUCGCGAAAGCUGAACAAAUCCGAGAGGAACUACACGGUGUAUGACCGAGAACUACUAGCCAUUCAUGAGGCGUUCCGGAGAUGGAGGCACCUGCUAAUUGGCGCACAACAUAAGGUGCAAGUGUGCACUGACCACAAGAACCUAGAGUAUUGGAGGACGGCACGAGUGCUCAACCAACGGCAAGUGAGAUGGGCCCAGGAGUUCUCCAAAUUUAACUUUGAGAUUAGUUACGUGCCAGGCCCAGAGAACAUUAGGGCGGACGCUCUCUCACGCAAACCUGAAUAUUUGGAGGGGGAGGGGGCACCCGAAGAGAGACAUGUCAUUCCAGAGGACCGCUGGGUGUGUGGGGCGGCAUUGGUGGGACAAAGAGAACUGGUAGAGGAAACAGAGAAUGAUGAAUACGCCCAGAAUAAGCUCAGAGGUCUUAGGGGUGAUGGAGAGGAACCAGGGGGUUCGAGGAAAGAAAUGGAGCUUUGUAUUACAAAGGGGCACUGUAUAUCCCUGAAGGAGAGUUAAGGGGGAGGGUACUCAAGCAGUUGCACGACAGCCCUACGGCAGGGCAUUUUGGACAACACAAAACCAUGUGGUUGGUCACCAGGGAAUUUUGGUGGCCUAAGGUGAGGGAAGAUGUACGUGAGUAUGUAAGAGGGUGCGAGCAAUGCCAGCGAGCCAAAGGGGAAAGGCGGGCGCCGGCGGGGCUAUUAGAACCCUUACCAACCCCAGAACGACCUUGGGAGGCAGUGUCGAUAGAUUUUAUGACUGAUCUGCCGAAGUCCAAAGGGAAAACAGCCAUCAUGGUGGUGGUAGACCUACUAACAAAGAUGUGCCACUUUGUAGCUUGCUCGCAUGCAGUCACGGCGGAAGAGACAGCGAAGUUAUUUGUAGAAAACAUUUUUAGGUUGCACGGAGUGCCAUUGAGGGUGGUCUCAGACCGAGGAAAACAAUUUACUUCCAGGUUCUGGAGGAAGCUCAUGAGCUUACUGCAGGUGGAGGUCAAUUUUUCGACUGCCCGGCACCCUGAAACCAACGGGCAGGCGGAAAGAGCAAACGGUGUCCUCCAGCAAUACCUGAGGUGUUAUGUCAAUGACAGAGAGAAUGACUGGGUAGAAAAGUUGGCGCUGGCGGAAUUUGCCUACAACAAUGCCGAGAAUGUGUCCACAGGGAUGAGCCCCUUCUUGGCUAAUUAUGGGUGUCAUCCCAGGGCUUUCCAGGGGGAGAGGGGGAGAGAUGGAGCGUCCCGGCAGCCGAGCAUUUUGUGGAAGAAAUGGAAGCAAUCCAUCGUCAGCUCCAACUCAACUUAGAAAGGGCGAAGGAAGAAUACAAGAGGCAGGCAGACAAGAACCGAAGGGAAGGUGAAACCAUAAGGGUGGGAGAUAGGGUGUGGCUGUCAACCCCAGGGGUGCCGUUCAAAGGAGGUUGUAAGAAAUUAAGACCCAGGAGGUUGGGUCCCUUUGAGGUCAUUCAACAGGUCAACCCAGUGGCUUUCAGGCUCCGGUUACCCAACCACAUGAAACUGCACCCAGUAUUUCACAGGUCGUUACUGUCACCGUACGAAGGGGGACGAGAAGGGCUGGCCACUCGGGACCGGUCGUAGAAGAAAGAGAAUGCAGCAGCCAUGUGGCAGAAAUCCUCGACGCCAGGUGGAAGGGGGAUCAGGUGGAGUAUUUGGUAGCGUGGGAAGGAGAACCGGAGUCAGAAAACACUUGGGUAAUGGCUGAAGAUAUCAAUGACGAGGUAUUGAUAGAAACGUUCCAUCAAAGGUUCCCAAGGAAACCUCAGCCUGUGGAGAGGUUCCGGAGGGAAUACUUUGGGACCACUGAUGAAGGGGAGGAGUUGGAAGGAUUCCCGGACUCGGAAGGGGAAGGGGAGAUGGACUCUGAGGAGGAGGUGUACUUCGAGACCAGGAACCGCAACAGGUUGAGAGAAGUGUUCGAGACAUCGGAAGAUGAAGGAAGUUCAUUCCGGGUUUUGCCUCCUCACCGCCCGUAGAGGAGGGGGCGAGAGGGGGUGAAGGGGGCCCUGGAGGGGAGGUGGAUGUCAGGGAACUGCCAUCGGACGGAAGGGAGGUGAAAGGGCUCACACAGGUUGGGAGAGACGCAGCAGCUGAAGAGGGAACCAGCAGGGAGGUGAAAGGGCUCACACAGGUUGGGAGAGACGCAGCAGCUGAAGAGGGAACCAGCAGGGAGGUGAAAGGGCUCACACAGGUUGGGAGAGACGCAGCAGCUGAAGAGGGAACCAGCAGGGGGAGAGGAGCUGAGCUGGAGGGAUGGCUCAGAGACACUUCCAGCGAAAACAGUGGGGAGGUUUCAGGACCUCCUGUAAGAACACCCACUCUCGCCGGAAACUGUCACGCAGAGAUUCCAGAAGACGUGUUUCCGUUAAGGAGCUUUUAUGUUGGAAGCGAUUACGAAAGCAACCACUGUCGGAAUCUGCUAGUGACUAGAGUAGCCAUGUCUGAGGGGCUCCGUCACAGACAGAGGUUUGUGGACUUGAACAAACUCUGAGGGGAUACGAUUUUACGCACAAGCAGCUCAUCAUCCCAUCACA